This 345-nucleotide long non-coding RNA is filed under the name Lathyrus oleraceus (garden pea). RNAcentral's name for it is "Pisum sativum (pea) long non-coding RNA (PSAT_LNC021972)". The record is from RNAcentral. Lineage: Eukaryota; Viridiplantae; Streptophyta; Magnoliopsida; Fabales; Fabaceae.
UCGAAACGUACGACUGUGAGUCAUUUAUUUGAAUCUCACUUAUAAAUUUCUAACAUAACAAGUGUCUUUCCCAAACUCAAAUUACAGUGAAUUAUUUAAGGUAGUGAACAAAACAAGGAGAGUAAAUGCACAUUUCUCCCCCUACCCUGAAAAAGAAGGGUAAGUUCUAUAUAACAAGGAAAUUUUACAUUAAAGAUCAACAACAACAAAAAAAAAAAAAAAAAGCUUUAGAGAAAGGGUAAGUUCUAUAUAACAAGGAAAUUUUACAUUAAAGAUCAACAACAACAAAAAAAAAAAAAAAAAGCUUUAGAGAAUACACAAAAUGAUCCUAAUAUUGCAGGCUUA